ACGGCUCAGUAACACGUGGAUAACGUGCCCUUAAGUGGAGGAUAAUCUCGGGAAAUUGAGGAUAAUACUCCAUAGAUUAUGAGAUCUGGAAUGAUUCAUGGUUGAAAGUUCCGGCGCUUAAGGAUCGGUCUGCGGCCUAUCAGGUUGUAGUGGGUGUAACGUACCCCCUAGCCUAUGACGAGUAUGGGCCUUGAGAGAGGGAGCCCAGAGUUGGAUUCUGAGACACGAAUCCAGGCCCUACGGGGCGCAGCAGUCGCGAAAACUUCACACUGGGGGCAACCCCGAUGAGGGAAUUCCUAGUGCUAGGACAAUUGUGUUAGCUUUUCUCUAGCGUAGAUAACUGGAGGAAUAAGGGCUGGGAAAGACGGGUGCCAGCCGCCGCGGUAAUACCUGCAGCCCAAGUGGUGGUCGAUUUUAUUGAGUCUAAAACGUUCGUAGCCGGUUCGAUAAAUCCUUGGGUAAAUCGGGGGGCUCAACCUUCCGACUUCCGAGGAGACUGUCGAACUUGGGACCGGGAGAGGCUAGAGGUACUUCUGGGGUAGGGGUAAAAUCCUGUAAUCCUAGAAGGACCACCGGUGGCGAAGGCGUCUAGCUAGAACGGAUCCGACGGUGAGGGACGAAGCCCUGGGUCGCAAACGGGAUUAGAUACCCCGGUAGUCCAGGGUGUAAACGCUGCAGACUUGGUGUUGGAAGCCCUUUGGGGGCAUUCAGUGCCGGAGAGAAGUUGUUAAGUCUGCUACUUGGGGAGUACGUCCGCAAGGAUGAAACUUAAAAGAAUUGGCGGGGGAGCAC
This 792-nucleotide ribosomal RNA is filed under the name uncultured archaeon Ar28. Its description in RNAcentral is "bacterial SSU rRNA". It matches the Rfam family "Archaeal small subunit ribosomal RNA", at positions 85 to 879 of the family's 1478-position model. The record is from RNAcentral.